AUGAUUUUACCGUGACUCUAUCAUCAACUUUUUCACUAACCCUCCUCCAAAUCUUCCUUCUCCCAAAUUAUUGUUCCUUCCCUAAUCUAUUGUUCCUUCACGGAAUUGAUUGUUCAUUCACCAAAUCGAUUGUUCCUUCAACGAAUAAUUUGUUACUUCAUCGAAUCGGUUAUUACUUCGCCGAAUCGAUUGUUGCUUCACUGAAUCAUUUUCCCCCAAAUCAAUUUUCUUUCUAUGAAGUGAUUCUUCCUUCCCCGAAUCUAUUGUUCCUUCACCGAAUCGAUUGUUUCUGUUUCAUAGUGAUUUACUCAGCUCUUUCGUUUUGCAGUGGCUCUCCUACCCAUAUCGAUUUCCUAUUUUCCAUACCCCAAAUUGAUUUCUCUUCUUCAAAUAAUUUUUAUUUCUACAUAGAAAUCUUCUAGAUUUGUGGUUUUCUUUUAAGAUAUCCCAAACUGAUGCUACCAAAUUGAUUGGAGUUCAAGAACUGUUUGCGAGAUUUCGUCUUUGGUCUUGUGUGUUCUUUAUUCUAUGUAAUACUUUGUUCAGGAUGAACUUGUUUGAGUCGUAGCAAUGGAGGAGGCAUAAUUUAACUUGAGUCGUAGCAAGAGAGUAACAAUACUUCAGUGAAGUUAGAAGAGGAAAAGUCAAUGACAAAUUGAGAGGUUUGAAUAACAUUGUUCCAGAAUGUUACAAGACCAUGGAAAUGGCACUAAUGUUGAAUGGAAUCAUAAACUAUGUUCAUUCAUUGGAGCAUCAAGUAGUGAACAGAUAGUACUUUAGCCGAAUGACGCAUGUAAUGAGGAUGAAGUAGGUGAAGAACUUCAAGAGGAUGAUAUUGGUGAUGAAUUUCACGAGGACGGCAAAAGUGAUGAAUUUUAAGAGGAGUUCGAAAAAGUUAAUUAGUUGGAUGAUGAUGAUGUUGUUUUAGGCUUGUAAUUAAGUAUUAAACUUAUAAUAUUAAGUAUUGUUAGAAAUUAUAAACUUAAGUAUUAAGUAAUGUUAGAAAAUUUAAAUUUAUAGUGUUAUGUAAUGUUAGAAAAUUUCUUUCUAUUAGGUGUAUUUGAGAUAAUGUAUGAUUUUAUUAACUCAACUUUUGUAGUGGCAAUUUAUGUUUAGUGCAAUUCUUGGUAAAAAAAUAUUCCUUGUAAAUUAUAGGUACAUCUAUGAAGUUUAUUCGCUGUUUCACUUUCAAGAAACAAUUUGUAUUUGUUGUUGGAUAUGGAAACGUUUGAAAAUUGUUGCAAUAGACUGCUCUCAUUCUACAAUUUUAGGGAACAAUUUGAAUGCGUUGCAAUUUUUAGCAACACUUUAACAUUGUCGCCCAAGAUAAAGCAAAAAACGUCCCCUUUUCCUACAGUUUAGGCGACGUUUAAGAAAAGUGUGGCCAAAGAGCAAUAAAAAACGUUGCCUUAAUUAAUAGGCAACGCUUGCACAGAAGACGCGUGGAAAACGUCCCCUAUUCUUUAAGGCAACGUUUUUUACAGUUCUGGCAACAAUUUUCAAUUGUUGUCAAAGAGCAAAAAUGUUGUAG
Molecule: long non-coding RNA, 1531 nt
Organism: Vicia villosa (hairy vetch)
Lineage: Eukaryota; Viridiplantae; Streptophyta; Magnoliopsida; Fabales; Fabaceae
Exons: 6
Source: RefSeq, a predicted model, not a curated record